This 749-nucleotide ribosomal RNA is filed under the name Lentilactobacillus buchneri. Its description in RNAcentral is "bacterial SSU rRNA". It matches the Rfam family "Bacterial small subunit ribosomal RNA", at positions 66 to 785 of the family's 1533-position model. Lineage: Bacteria; Bacillati; Bacillota; Bacilli; Lactobacillales; Lactobacillaceae. The record is from RNAcentral.
AUGAUUUUAGGUGCUUGCACUUGAAAGAUUUAACAUUGAGACGAGUGGCGAACUGGUGAGUAACACGUGGGUAACCUGCCCUUGAAGUAGGGGAUAACACUUGGAAACAGGUGCUAAUACCGUAUAACAACCAAAACCACCUGGUUUUGGUUUAAAAGACGGCUUCGGCUGUCACUUUAGGAUGGACCCGCGGCGUAUUAGCUUGUUGGUAAGGUAACGGCCUACCAAGGCGAUGAUACGUAGCCGACCUGAGAGGGUAAUCGGCCACAUUGGGACUGAGACACGGCCCAAACUCCUACGGGAGGCAGCAGUAGGGAAUCUUCCACAAUGGACGAAAGUCUGAUGGAGCAACGCCGCGUGAGUGAUGAAGGGUUUCGGCUCGUAAAACUCUGUUGUUGGAGAAGAACAGGUGUCAGAGUAACUGUUGACAUCUUGACGGUAUCCAACCAGAAAGCCACGGCUAACUACGUGCCAGCAGCCGCGGUAAUACGUAGGUGGCAAGCGUUGUCCGGAUUUAUUGGGCGUAAAGCGAGCGCAGGCGGUUUUUUAGGUCUGAUGUGAAAGCCUUCGGCUUAACCGGAGAAGUGCAUCGGAAACCGGGAGACUUGAGUGCAGAAGAGGACAGUGGAACUCCAUGUGUAGCGGUGAAAUGCGUAGAUAUAUGGAAGAACACCAGUGGCGAAGGCGGCUGUCUGGUCUGUAACUGACGCUGAGGCUCGAAAGCAUGGGUAGCGAACAGGAUUAGAUAC